AUCGGGGUUGCGGACAGUGUCUGGUGGGUAGUUUGACUGGGGCGGUCUCCUCCUAAAGAGUAACGGAGGAGCACGAAGGUCAGCUAAUCCUGGUCGGACAUCAGGAGGUUAGUGCAAUGGCAUAAGCUGGCUUGACUGCGAGCGUGACGGCGCGAGCAGGUGCGAAAGCAGGUCAUAGUGAUCCGGUGGUUCUGAAUGGAAGGGCCAUCGCUCAACGGAUAAAAGGUACUCCGGGGAUAACAGGCUGAUACCGCCCAAGAGUUCAUAUCGACGGCGGUGUUUGGCACCUCGAUGUCGGCUCAUCACAUCCUGGGGCUGAAGUAGGUCCCAAGGGUAUGGCUGUUCGCCAUUUAAAGUGGUACGCGAGCUGGGUUUAGAACGUCGUGAGACAGUUCGGUCCCUAUCUGCCGUGGGCGCUGGAGAAUUGAGGGGGGCUGCUCCUAGUACGAGAGGACCGGAGUGGACGCAUCACUGGUGUUCGGGUUGUCAUGCCAAUGGCAUUGCCCGGUAGCUAAAUGCGGAAGAGAUAAGUGCUGAAAGCAUCUAAGCACGAAACUUGCCCCGAGAUGAGUUCUCCCUGAC
Molecule: ribosomal RNA, 582 nt
Filed under: Klebsiella michiganensis
Lineage: Bacteria; Pseudomonadati; Pseudomonadota; Gammaproteobacteria; Enterobacterales; Enterobacteriaceae
Description: partial 23S ribosomal RNA
Rfam family: Bacterial large subunit ribosomal RNA
Source: RNAcentral